This is a long non-coding RNA of Salmo trutta (river trout), 1843 nucleotides long. NCBI's taxonomy places the organism in Eukaryota, Metazoa, Chordata, Actinopteri, Salmoniformes, Salmonidae. The record is from Ensembl.
GUGCUAGUGAUGCAUCUAGUCUACUUUCAUCCACUAGGCUCGUAUACUGACUGAUGCCGCUGGUCCAAACAACGUUCUGCCGCGCCAGCUAGCGCACGGUUUACCAGAUAUAGCCUUUUAGAAAGUUCCUCAACGCGAUUCAAGGGUUGACUUUUGGAAAAGUGUUGUUAAUAUCUCGAUAUGCUGGCACCGUUCCGACCUGUCACCAAGGAGAGAUGCUACGAAAUACGAACGUAUUCCCUGUUGCUGCCACAGGAGCGGAAACAGUGCAGCGGAUAUGGGGUCUUCUAAAUAAUUAAGAAAAGAGGAGCGCUUUCUUUACUGCAGACUGGCACGUCAAGUAACGGUUCGGUAGAAACUAACGGAGUUUAUCCACCAAUGCUAUGAAAUCUAACAGAUGACAUAUCGCAACCUCGGAUCGAGAACCAGAUUUUACGGCGGACAUUUGACAGACGGGAGACUGGAAGGGAGCGGAAGCGAGCGACACAGUGCCGCCGGGAAAGAGCGCUGGAACACGGCUGGGAGUCCACAGACCGUCGGUGGAGCACGGCCCAUGCGGAUCUGUCGUCCAUGAUCAGACGUCGGGAAAUAAACAUGUAGCUAGCUACUGCUACUUGGUUAUACUACAUAACAUUCACCGUAAAAAAGUACACGGGAAAGCGGGCUUGCGGUGUCGAUUACGGUACGGUGUUCCAAGUUAUUUUGACGGUGUCCAACCUCCCUUCUUCACCUCCACCACCACCUCAGGCCUGCAGUCUCCCUCUCUCCCCCCUCUCACCCCUUUCUGUUCCACCUGGAAGAAGACAAGACAUUGGUCUGGAGAGUUGGCCAACCUCUACAUCCUACCCCAGACCACCCUAGUUCCAACCAGACUACAAUCCAACAUCCUUCCUCUCCACCCCUCCCCAAACAGACGAGGGGGAGAGAGGAGCUUCGCCCCCCCUCAUCCCCUCCCUCCCUCUCUCUCCCCCCUCCCAACAUGCAGCCUCAGGGCCUGUAUGUAAGAGCCAUGGUACAGCCCAUCCCUAGAUUGAAAUCUUGAACCACUCCAGUUGUACUCCACUGUGUGUUGAAGUGAAGCUAAAUGUUCUGAUGUGAGUGAAACUGGGCUGGACCAGCGCUGACCAGACAGCGCAACCAAUAGGAAGACUGGAUCACAGGCCUCAAAUUCCACAAUCACUCAAUCAAACUUUAUUCAUAAAAGCCUUUUUACAACAACAUUUCUCACAAAGUGCUUUACAGUAGUCACCUUAGUAAACCUAUUUUUGACUUCCAAAGAGCAGGCAAGGGAAUGGCAAGGGAAAACCUCCUUACAAGUGCAGAUGUGUUAGCUAACCUCUGACCUGUGUCUGGGCUUGGCUGCUUGUUGGAUCCAGACUGUAGUAUUGAAUCUAGAGGCUUCUACUGACCGUAGCUAGCGCGUCAGCUUCUAGAAUGUUCUAUUAGGUUCUAGUACGUUCUAAUAGGUUCUAAUAUGUUCUGUUAGGUUCUAGUAUGUUCUGUUAGGUUCUAGUACAUUCUAUUAGGUUCUAGUACAUUCUAUUAGGUUCUAGUAUGUUCUAUUAGGUUCUAGUGUGUUCUAUUAGGUUCUAGUAGGCUCUACCAGGCUGUCUCUGGCCCUGUGCUGUGGCCACCUGGCCUGUGGCCCUCCUCUCUGGCUCCAGCUUUGGGCGAGGCCCACGGUUCUCCCCCCUCCCCUGCUCAACCUCCACCAUUCGCCCCUCCCUCGCCACGGCUGUCCUCCCCCCCCGCCCCCGCCCCCACCCUUCCUCCCCCUCCCAUCACCACCACUCCCCCCAUCAUCACCAUCACCCCCACCCCUCUCACCCCCAGUCCCCUCCUC